UGUGGGGAUCUCAUGCAUGGUAAUAACUACAUGUAUAUACAACUUGCAUCCUUGGCACAAAGUUAUUAUAUUCUACUCAAUCCAUAGGCGUCAUUAAUGUCAUCCAGACUGUUUUGAAGUUGAUACAACUGGCUAUGAUAGGCUCCUGAGUGGCGCAGUGGUCUAAGACACUGCAUCCCAGUGCAAGAGGCGUCACCGCAGAACCUGGUUCGAAUCCAUCACAUCUGGCCUUGAUUGGAAGUCCCAUAGGGCGGCCCAGCGUCGCAGGGGUAGGCCCUCAUUAGAUUCAUGAAUGAAACCGGGGAUGCAGUAAAGAGGUUCUCUGACCAAUUAUCCGCCACCUCCCUCAUGACCUGGAAAAAUAGACUGACUCUCGAUAGGUUACGGGCAAAGAGGGCGGUGUAAGUAGAAUGAUUAGGUUCAUUACUGUACGUACAUUUCUGAUAACACAGCUCAUGUUUGGGAAAUGGAAAAGUGUUGCAAGAACUGUAUUAUGGGCUGCUUUCACCUGUAUGAGUGUGUUUGGGUUGUGUGGUUGUUGUUUGGUCCCGUGUGCGAGAGGUUUAAUCACCAGAACUCUAGAGAGAUGGACAACGGAGCAGAUGGUGAGCUACGGACCGAGUCAAAGUUCAGACCAAUGAGACAAGUACCUACUGCCGAGCAAGGUGGAGGAUUCAUUCAAAUAUGAGGAGCACAUGU
RNAcentral lists this long non-coding RNA (699 nucleotides) under Salmo salar (Atlantic salmon). Its description in RNAcentral is "lncRNA (ENSSSAG00000096471.1)". Lineage: Eukaryota; Metazoa; Chordata; Actinopteri; Salmoniformes; Salmonidae. The record is from RNAcentral.